CUUUCUUUCAGGUGCUGAUGCAUUAUAUCCUUGGCAGAGCAACCCAUCCCGGGCUCGUGGGUUCCCCUGAGCAGGAAGUCAAGGCAGAUGCAGCAGUCGAGGCUGAGUGGGCAAGGCAAUUGACUCGGCGUAUGUCCAGCCCCCGUCACACACCGGCCAAUGCACUGGGUUUCCUGCACAUGUGGGCCUUGAGGAAAUAUUACAGGACUCUGCGAUGAAGCCUUUAAAUUUUCUAUUUCACCAUCCUAUCUGGGUAGCCAUCAGGACCGGCCAAGGAGUUGUGGUGAGUCGGGGAGGUAGGGAGCAGGAGCGAGGGUCCGUUCAGGUUUCAGCAAUGCCAAAUCAAGUUGUCUCUGCUUAAU
Long non-coding RNA from Motacilla alba alba, 362 nucleotides. RefSeq lists it as uncharacterized. The record is from RefSeq and is a predicted model, not a curated record. The transcript has 3 exons. NCBI's taxonomy places the organism in Eukaryota, Metazoa, Chordata, Aves, Passeriformes, Motacillidae.